GACGACAGAUCCUUGUUUCUCAUCUACAAAACCUACUUGGAACUUACGGAGACGUCAGAAGAUGGGUCGUUUUACAGGCGCCCUAUUGGUGGAAUUACUCCCCGUUUCUCAAGCCAGGUUGUCGGUAUCAAUAAAUUAUCAACUCUCAUCAAGACAAUGUGUACAGAGGUGGGCCUAUCCGGAAAUUUUUCAACCAUUCUGGAAAGAGGACCUGUGCCACUUCCUUGUAUAAUAGUGGGGUUGAUGAGCAAUUAAUAAUGGAAAGGACAGGUCAUCGUAGUGAUGCUGUACGGAAAUACAAACGCACCUCUACUACACAACAAAACGAUAUCAGUAAAUUAUUGGAUCCGCCCUCCAAAAAGGCACUCGUAUCAGCAGAUACUAGGUUUACAUCUACAACCGAGCGGGAAUUUGGAAAAAAUCUCAAAAAUGCACAAAUACCGCCAGAAAACAG
This is a long non-coding RNA of Saccostrea cuccullata (small rock oyster), 454 nucleotides long. RefSeq lists it as uncharacterized. Lineage: Eukaryota; Metazoa; Mollusca; Bivalvia; Ostreida; Ostreidae. The record is from RefSeq and is a predicted model, not a curated record. The transcript is spliced from 2 exons.